ACACAUGCAAGUCGAGCGGGCCCUUCGGGGUCAGCGGCAGACGGGUGAGUAACGCGUGGGAACGUACCAUUUGCUACGGAAUAACUCAGGGAAACUUGUGCUAAUACCGUAUGAGCCCCCCUUUAAAAUUUCAGGAAUCAUAAAAUGCCCUGGCAUUUUAUGGGGGGGAAAGAUUUAUCGGCAAAUGAUCGGCCCGCGUUGGAUUAGCUAGUUGGUGGGGUAAAGGCCUACCAAGGCGACGAUCCAUAGCUGGUCUGAGAGGAUGAUCAGCCACACUGGGACUGAGACACGGCCCAGACUCCUACGGGAGGCAGCAGUGGGGAAUAUUGGACAAUGGGCGCAAGCCUGAUCCAGCCAUGCCGCGUGAGUGAUGAAGGCCCUAGGGUUGUAAAGCUCUUUCACCGGUGAAGAUAAUGACGGUAACCGGAGAAGAAGCCCCGGCUAACUUCGUGCCAGCAGCCGCGGUAAUACGAAGGGGGCUAGCGUUGUUCGGAUUUACUGGGCGUAAAGCGCACGUAGGCGGGCUAAUAAGUCAGGGGUGAAAUCCCGGGGCUCAACCCCGGAACUGCCUUUGAUACUGUUAGUCUUGAGUAUGGUAGAGGUGAGUGGAAUUCCGAGUGUAGAGGUGAAAUUCGUAGAUAUUCGGAGGAACACCAGUGGCGAAGGCGGCUCAC
This 674-nucleotide ribosomal RNA is filed under the name Brucella anthropi. RNAcentral describes it as "bacterial SSU rRNA". It matches the Rfam family "Bacterial small subunit ribosomal RNA", at positions 51 to 729 of the family's 1533-position model. Lineage: Bacteria; Pseudomonadati; Pseudomonadota; Alphaproteobacteria; Hyphomicrobiales; Brucellaceae. The record is from RNAcentral.